This 1061-nucleotide ribosomal RNA is filed under the name Vibrio harveyi. Its description in RNAcentral is "bacterial SSU rRNA". It matches the Rfam family "Bacterial small subunit ribosomal RNA", at positions 467 to 1528 of the family's 1533-position model. The record is from RNAcentral. Lineage: Bacteria; Pseudomonadati; Pseudomonadota; Gammaproteobacteria; Vibrionales; Vibrionaceae.
AUUUGACGUUAGCGACAGAAGAAGCACCGGCUAACUCCGUGCCAGCAGCCGCGGUAAUACGGAGGGUGCGAGCGUUAAUCGGAAUUACUGGGCGUAAAGCGCAUGCAGGUGGUUUGUUAAGUCAGAUGUGAAAGCCCGGGGCUCAACCUCGGAAUAGCAUUUGAAACUGGCAGACUAGAGUACUGUAGAGGGGGGUAGAAUUUCAGGUGUAGCGGUGAAAUGCGUAGAGAUCUGAAGGAAUACCGGUGGCGAAGGCGGCCCCCUGGACAGAUACUGACACUCAGAUGCGAAAGCGUGGGGAGCAAACAGGAUUAGAUACCCUGGUAGUCCACGCCGUAAACGAUGUCUACUUGGAGGUUGUGGCCUUGAGCCGUGGCUUUCGGAGCUAACGCGUUAAGUAGACCGCCUGGGGAGUACGGUCGCAAGAUUAAAACUCAAAUGAAUUGACGGGGGCCCGCACAAGCGGUGGAGCAUGUGGUUUAAUUCGAUGCAACGCGAAGAACCUUACCUACUCUUGACAUCCAGAGAACUUUCCAGAGAUGGAUUGGUGCCUUCGGGAACUCUGAGACAGGUGCUGCAUGGCUGUCGUCAGCUCGUGUUGUGAAAUGUUGGGUUAAGUCCCGCAACGAGCGCAACCCUUAUCCUUGUUUGCCAGCACUUCGGGUGGGAACUCCAGGGAGACUGCCGGUGAUAAACCGGAGGAAGGUGGGGACGACGUCAAGUCAUCAUGGCCCUUACGAGUAGGGCUACACACGUGCUACAAUGGCGCAUACAGAGGGCGGCCAACUUGCGAGAGUGAGCGAAUCCCAAAAAGUGCGUCGUAGUCCGGAUCGGAGUCUGCAACUCGACUCCGUGAAGUCGGAAUCGCUAGUAAUCGUGGAUCAGAAUGCCACGGUGAAUACGUUCCCGGGCCUUGUACACACCGCCCGUCACACCAUGGGAGUGGGCUGCAAAAGAAGUAGGUAGUUUAACCUUCGGGAGGACGCUUACCACUUUGUGGUUCAUGACUGGGGUGAAGUCGUAACAAGGUAGCGCUAGGGGAACCUGGCGCUGGAUCACCU